CCUACGGGUGGCAGCAGUGGGGAAUAUUGCGCAAUGGGCGAAAGCCUGACGCAGCGACGCCGCGUGAGGGAUGAAGGUCUUCGGAUCGUAAACCUCUGUCAGCAGGGAAGAACGGUCACUGUGCUAAUCAGCAGUGAAUUGACGGUACCUGCAAAGGAAGCACCGGCUAACUCCGUGCCAGCAGCCGCGGUAAUACGGAGGGUGCGAGCGUUAAUCGGAAUUACUGGGCGUAAGGGGCGCGUAGGCGGUAUGUCAAGUCAAGGGUGAAAUCCCAGGGCUCAACGUGGGAACUGCCUUUGAAACUGGAAAGCUGGAGUGUGUGAGAGGAAAGUGGAAUUCCGGGUGUAGGAGUGAAAUCCGUAGAUAUUGGGAGGAACACCAGGGGCGAAGGCGACUAACUGGACCAUAACUGACGUUGAGGAGCGAAAGCGUGGGGAGCAAACAGGAUUAGAUACCCCAGUAGUC
Molecule: ribosomal RNA, 465 nt
Filed under: uncultured bacterium
Lineage: Bacteria
Description: partial 16S ribosomal RNA
Rfam family: Bacterial small subunit ribosomal RNA
Source: RNAcentral